Molecule: ribosomal RNA, 253 nt
Filed under: uncultured bacterium
Lineage: Bacteria
Description: partial 16S ribosomal RNA
Rfam family: Bacterial small subunit ribosomal RNA
Source: RNAcentral
GACGGGGGAUGCAAGCGUUAUCAGGAAUCACUGAGCGUAAAGCGUCUGUAGGUGGUGAUGCAAGUCACUGGUGCAAAACUCUGGCUCAACCGGAGGAAAGCCAGUGAAACUGCAUGACUAGAGUGUGGGAGAGGUAGAAGGAAUUCCCUGAGUAGCGGUGAAAUGCGUAGAGACAGGGAAGAACACCGGAGGCGAAAGCGUUCUACUGGAACACAACUGACACUGAGAGACGAAAGAUAGGGGAGCGAAUGGG